RNAcentral lists this ribosomal RNA (504 nucleotides) under uncultured bacterium. RNAcentral describes it as "partial 16S ribosomal RNA". It matches the Rfam family "Bacterial small subunit ribosomal RNA", at positions 28 to 506 of the family's 1533-position model. The record is from RNAcentral.
GACGAACGCUGGCGGCGUGCCUAAUACAUGCAAGUAGAACGCACAGUUUAUACCGUAGCUUGCUACACCAUAAACUGUGAGUUGCGAACGGGUGAGUAACGCGUAGGUAACCUGCCUGGUAGCGGGGGAUAACUAUUGGAAACGAUAGCUAAUACCGCAUAAUAUUGAUUAUUGCAUGAUAAUUGAUUGAAAGAUGCUAUUGCAUCACUACCAGAUGGACCUGCGUUGUAUUAGCUAGUAGGUGAGGUAACGGCUUACCUAGGCGACGAUACAUAGCCGACCUGAGAGGGUGAUCGGCCACACUGGGACUGAGACACGGCCCAGACUCCUACGGGAGGCAGCAGUAGGGAAUCUUCGGCAAUGGACGAAAGUCUGACCGAGCAACGCCGCGUGAGUGAAGAAGGUUUUCGGAUCGUAAAGCUCUGUUGUAAGAGAAGAACGGGUGUGAGAGUGGAAAGUGCACACUGUGACGGUAUCUUACCAGAAAGGGACGGCUAACUACGU